UUUCGUCGGGAGUGUAGUGUACUCUCGAGGCUUUUACGGAUAACGGGGUUUGAAGGAACGACUCCGGAGAGAGAGCACGAUAUUCGGCUCUCACAUCUAAGGAAGGCAGCAGUGGCGCAAAUUACCCCAUGAACUCACGUUCGAGGUAGCGACGGUCAAUAACUCUGAGAUUGGGCCUUGCCUAGUCUCGGUUUGGAAUGGAUGGGCUUUAAAACCGCCCAUGAGGAUCAAUUGGAGGGCAAGUCUGGUGCCAGCAGCCGCGGUAAUUCCAGCUCCAAGAGCGAGCACCAUUUCUGCUGCAGUUAAAAAGCUCGUAGUUGAACCUUUGGGUUGCGUUUGUUAGCGUUGGUUUUAAUUAAUCAGCGAUCUAUUCGGACCGGCUCUUUCGUGGGAUCCGCUGGUCUGUGCGUUCGUUCGUACUUUUCGGCCCCCACCGUUUACUGUGAGGAAAUCUACGCGCUCAACGCCUUUUUUUGAAAGAAAAGUUCAGCACGGAAUGAUAAGAUACGAUAUUCGAUGUCUUGUUGGUUUACAUUGAUUAUAAUGAUGAAUAGAAACAGGUGGGGCAAUUUGUAUCACUGCGUCAGAGGUGAAAUUCUUGGAUCGCACUGAGACAAUCUACAGCGAAGGCAUUUUGCAAGGAUGUUUUCAUUAAUCAAGAACGUUAGUUAGGGGAUCGAAGAUGAUUAGAUACCGUUGUAGUCCUAACCGUAAACGAUGCCGACUGCCAAUUGUUGAGGAUUAUUUUUAGUCUUCAGCAGCGGGCGAGAGAAAUCGAAGUCUUUGGGUUCUGGGGGGAGUAUGAGCGCAAGCUUGAAACUUAAAGGAAUUGACGGAAGGGCACACCAGAGGUGGAGCUUGCGGCUUAAUUUGACCCAACACGGGAAAACUUACCAGGGUCGGACUUUUGCAGGAUUGACAGAUUAAUAGCUCUUUCAUGAUUAAAAGGGUGGUGGUGCAUGGCCGUUCGUAGUUGGUGGAGUGAUUUGUCUGGUUAAUUCCGUUAACGAACGAGACCACGUUUGUAUAAUAGGACCGCUAUCUUACGAUAAGCGAAACCUUCUUUACAAGACUUUCCGCUUCCAGCGGGAGGAAGUUCGUGGCAAUAACAGGUCUGUGAUGCCCUUAGAUAGCCUGGGCCGCACGCGUGCUACAAUGGAGGCGUCAAUAGGUAUACUGUGCUCGACCGGAAGGUCUUGCUAAUCCCAAAUUGCCUUCGUGAUGGGGAUUGAUCUUUGAAAUUAUGGAUCAUAAACGAGGAAUCUCUAGUAAGGGUGUGUCAUCAGCGCAUCCUGAUUACGUCCCUGCCCUUUGUACACACCGCCCGUCGCACCUACCGAUGAAAAAUUAAACGAGGUCUCGGGACCCGGUCUUCUCGAGGGUCAAACCUUGAGGUUACUAGGAAACCUGAUCAAGUUUAAUUCUUUAGAGGAAGGUGAAGUCGUAACAAGGUU
This 1454-nucleotide ribosomal RNA is filed under the name metagenome. RNAcentral's name for it is "SSU rRNA". It matches the Rfam family "Eukaryotic small subunit ribosomal RNA", at positions 320 to 1801 of the family's 1831-position model. The record is from RNAcentral.